UACGGAGGGUGCAAGCGUUAUCCGGAUUUACUGGGUUUAAAGGGUGCGCAGGCGGAUAUGUAAGUCAGUGGUGAAAUCUCUGGGCUUAACCCGGAAAUUGCCAUUGAUACUAUAUAUCUUGAAUGCUGUGGAGAUAAGCGGAAUAUGUCAUGUAGCGGUGAAAUGCUUAGAUAUGACAUAGAACACCUAUUGCGAAGGCAGCUUACUACGCAGAGAUUGACGCUCAUGCACGAAAGCGUGGGGAUCAAACAGG
RNAcentral lists this ribosomal RNA (253 nucleotides) under uncultured bacterium. Its description in RNAcentral is "partial 16S ribosomal RNA". It matches the Rfam family "Bacterial small subunit ribosomal RNA", at positions 524 to 776 of the family's 1533-position model. The record is from RNAcentral.